UCAAUUUAGAUUGUCUUGGUUUCUUAACAGAAUGGACACCUCACCGUUCCAAGUUACAAAUGCAUACCGACUUCAAUUUGCACUCAACAACAAUUGGCACAAGAGGUCCCACACGUAUACACAUACCAUGACUUUAUAUGCAUUUUUCUAUAUAUAACAAAUACACAGACAGAAUAUAGAGGGAGGAAGGCAACAAUUUCCAGGAGGGCCCACAGUGAAAGAAAAAGAACCAUCUUCUUUUCUUUUUCCAAUCCAUCAUCAUCAUCACAUUCGGACUCACGAAAACAAUCAUACACAGACCUCCAUUUUUUUUUCCUUUUUCUGGCUCUCACCAUCAACCCACAGAUUACACAUAAAAUCCUCUAUGGAUGAACAUUCGGACAUUCCAACACAGCUUGAUGUUCCAUUAAAACCAAAAAAAAAAAAAAAAUUAAAGAAGGCAACAUACACUCACAUACUCUCCACCCACCAUCACUCUCACAUUCCACCCAUCCACCACGGACGCACACACACAGAGCUAGACGGAAAACACACACUACACAGAGAGAUUCGAGAACGCUACAGAAAAACUGUGAGAGAAAGAAGUAGAAAAAACUGUGGGAAGGAACGAAAUUUUGGAUCGCUAGUCACUGUUCCGGAGAUCUACUCGCCAGAAAAACGUUAAUCCACCCAUAACUCACCGAAAUCCAGCCUAUUUCAGUCAGUUUCUUUCACUGUUAGCUCACCGGAGUCGAUUUGUCGAGGUUCUCAGUUCUUCAUCGAGAAUUGGGUCUGAGUUUCGUUUUGUGUGAAACGGGUCGGUCAAUUUUGUUCAAGUCAGUUCGGAUUUUGGGUUAUUGAAGUCGGGAGUUCGUUGUUGGGGAAUUUCUGUUCAAGAUAUUCCGGCACCGCUCCGUCAAACAGUUCAAUUGAAAUAAUACGUCAAAUUUGAGGACCUUUUGUACUUAUUUAUCGGAGAAUGCCCCGACGUAUCAUGUACACAAAGGAGGUUCGUGUUGAAGGCCCGAGGCACAGGGUAAAGCAUUGGAGCAUAGUUUAGGAUUAGCGUAGGUUUACUUUUCAGUACUUUUUUACUUCAGUUUGUAAUAAUUGGACUGAACAUUAUAUUUUGGAUUUGUUUUGUUUCG
This is a long non-coding RNA of Capsicum annuum, 1127 nucleotides long. RefSeq lists it as uncharacterized. The record is from RefSeq and is a predicted model, not a curated record. The transcript is spliced from 2 exons. Lineage: Eukaryota; Viridiplantae; Streptophyta; Magnoliopsida; Solanales; Solanaceae.